UGCCAGGAAUCAAACCUAGGACCUCAACGCCAGUUAACAUGCCAUACUCUCCCACCAUUGAACAAUAUCCAGAGACUGCUGACACAUCUUUCUUUGUGCUCACACAAGUUCAUAUGCAGAGUGCUGUCACAUUCCCCCUCUACUGCCUGCUGAUCAAGAUGUAGAACUCUUGGCUCCUCCAGUACCAUAUCUGCCUGCAUGCUGCCAUGUUUUCCACUAUGAUGAUAGAAGACUGAACCUCUGCAACUAUAUGUUCUGCUUUCAUGAAAUUCAAAAGGGAAGAUAACAACAUCUGAGAGACACAAACUAUCUAUUUCCUCUGAAAUAAAACUUCAAGCAUGACAGCUAGUUAUAACUCACUUUGCUAUGGCAUUGUAUGCUGAAUUGGAUGACAACUUUCACACCGUUCUGUGUGUUCAAACUCCAAACGGUGCUUUUCACCAUCGGAGGAGCCAGAAUGCAGAUGGGAUUCAGUGUGCUUGUUGAAUGCUGGGACCAGAGAAGUGGCUCGGCAGUUAAGAGGACCUGGCAGCUCUUCCAGAGGACCUGUGUUUGAUUCCCAGAACUCCUAUGGUAGCUCAAAACCGUGUGUCUCCAAUCAUAGGGAGUCCAGCGUCCUCGUCUGGCCUCCAUGAGCACUGCAUGCAUAAGGUGCACAAACAUAAAUGCCAGCAAAAAUAAAAAUCCGUACACAGAAAAAUAACGAAGUGUUCAAAAAGCUUUUCAAGUAAACAGAUGCCAGAUUGGUGUGUUAUAUUCAAGCGAGAAGCUAAAAUGCUCAGGCUGACUGCUGUGAAUACAUAAAGCUCAAAACGAAUCUUUGUAAUAAUCAGAAAGUUUGACGGCAGAUAGAUGCCCCAAACGUUCAAACACAGUAACUCUCUCUCUAAGGUAAAUCAAACUGAAUUCUCAUUAAUUUUUUUUUCUCCUUACCUAAUCC
Molecule: long non-coding RNA, 940 nt
Organism: Mus musculus (house mouse)
Lineage: Eukaryota; Metazoa; Chordata; Mammalia; Rodentia; Muridae
Product: predicted gene, 53251
Exons: 5
Source: RefSeq, a predicted model, not a curated record